Anguilla rostrata (American eel) is the source of this 1417-nucleotide long non-coding RNA. RefSeq lists it as uncharacterized. The transcript is spliced from 5 exons. NCBI's taxonomy places the organism in Eukaryota, Metazoa, Chordata, Actinopteri, Anguilliformes, Anguillidae. The record is from RefSeq and is a predicted model, not a curated record.
CAGGUCCACCCAGUACGACCCCUCCUCCCUCCUUGACAAAGGUGAUGUGCGCAAAUGUGUUCGAUUCUUUGAUGAACACAAUCGAUUUUUUCAAGCUUGCCGAGUGUGAAUUGUACAAACAUCGAAGGAUUCAGCAGUGAUGAGCAGCACGGGACGGUCAUCCCCUAAUACCGAAGACAUCCACGAGCAAACAUGUGGGGAGAGCUGGAGAACAAGACCGAUCUGUGGCGCGACGGAAACGCCUCUCUAAAGGUCAUUUCUGAGCAGCUGUGGGUCUCUGUCACUGACACGCUGAGCAAUGGCUCUACACCCAGGCCUCAAGCCCCUGGCACCGACGUUCCAUCGGAAAGAGAGAGCGGAAUCGUUCCAGGUAUCAUAGCAGCAGCAGUGUUUAUCAGCUUCCUGUUGGCCCUGUAUGCUGUUCUGUGGAAAUGCAUGGUGGCUGCGCCUAAGAGUUUCAGGCAGGAGGAGAAGAAGAAGAGGAGAGAGAGAGCUCGUGCACAGAGGGGUCAUGUGUGCUGAAGGUCAGGACCACAUCAGAAGGGGCACAGUUUGGGAUUUUGGGAUGAGGUCACGGCGAGAGCCUGGCUGCUGGUUCGCCGUGGUGCUGGAGCUCGCCGGUUUGAUGGACAGAGGCCCGGGGUGGGCGGAGCUUUGAAUCCUCCUGCUCUGAAGUCUGUAUGGCAGCUUAAGGCUGCUGCCUUCUGGGACAGCCUGUCCUCCAGGACACACAUCCAAUGAGGAGGGGGACCCUGUCCAACUGUUCACAAACUACUGGAACUUGCACAAGAGCAUUUUAGCAAUGUGGAUUAAACGUGACAUUUCCUGCAAAUUUAUCAAAUACCAUAGAUGGAACAAAGGUUUGCCCACGUGCAUGGCACUCAUGGGAAUUUGUAUGUAUAUAUGUACCUCUUUGUUGCUGAAACUUACAUCUGUAUUGUUGCAGGGAUUUGGAAAAAAAAAACUUUUUAUAUAAUUCCACAUAUGGAACAAAGAUUUGCAAAUGUGAAUGCGUUCGUUGAAAUUUUUGACUGUGGCUCAGGGAUUCUGAGGAGCAUGUAAAAUUUUUUAAGAUGCUAAGAGUGUACCUCUGUUCUAGGAUGAAGGAGUUGCCAACUUUUGUAUCAGAGUUUUCCCACAGGGAAGAUAGGAGCAAUACAAAUUAGGAUGUUCAAGGAUAGCCAGGAUAUUAAUAUCCAGAGAAUGAUCUCAUAUGGGUUUUGUGGGGUACUCAUGUUGAAAGGUUGGUUUGUUAUAAUGCACCUGCAUUCAUCCUAGAAGUUUAUUUUAUCAUAUCGUGUGGUGUGCAUGCUGUUUCAGUAUGAACGUGUAAAUGAAACUACCAAACUUUAAGUGUAAUCAGACUGCAGAUUUGACUUCAUGACAUGCCUGAUGCCAAAUAAAAUUGACUACUGUU